Molecule: ribosomal RNA, 404 nt
Filed under: uncultured bacterium
Lineage: Bacteria
Description: bacterial SSU rRNA
Rfam family: Bacterial small subunit ribosomal RNA
Source: RNAcentral
AGAGUUUGAUCCUGGCUCAGAGCGAACGCUGGCGGCAGGCCUAACACAUGCAAGUCGAGCGCUCCGCAAGGGGAGCGGCAGACGGGAGAGUAACACGUGGGAACGUACCCUUCAGUUCGGAACAACCCAGGGAAACUUGGGCUAAUACCGAAUACGUCCGUAAGGAGAAAGAUUUAUCGCUGAAGGAUCGGCCCGCGUCUGAUUAGCUUGUUGGUGAGGUAACGGCUCACCAAGGCGACGAUCAGUAGCUGGUCUGAGAGGAUGAUCAGCCUCACUGGGACUGAGACACGGCCCAGACUCCUACGGGAGGCAGCAGUGGGGAAUAUUGGACAAUGGGCGCAAGCCUGAUCCAGCCAUGCCGCGUGGGUGAUGGAGGCCCUAGGGUUGUAAAGCCCUUCGGCGGG